Molecule: non-coding RNA, 231 nt
Organism: Vicia faba (fava bean)
Lineage: Eukaryota; Viridiplantae; Streptophyta; Magnoliopsida; Fabales; Fabaceae
Source: the annotation of a GenBank genome assembly
AUGAAGAUGAAGAUGAGAAGAGAACUCGAAGAGAGUGAAGAGAGAAUGAAGAUUGGUGAGGAGAAGAAUCCAGAUCCGAGCCCUUUCCCGGACAAUAACAAGGAAGUAGUUGGUAUACAAGCACCACAUAUUGGUGAGCCGCUUGCAGUAUGUGGCUGCAUAUGGUUGAAGCUCAAAGCAUAUGUAAUUUCCCCUAGUAUUCAUGAGGUUGUAUGCUUUAUAUUCGCCUGA